AUGAGAUGUCCGCACAUCACAGAUGCACAGCUCCUCCAGAAAACUGCCAGAUUACCGGAUUACUCCAAGGAAAAUUUCGCAACGGCCUCUGAUUCCUUCCUGAUGAAGUGAUUUUCCACAACACUUUGCUCACUGGCAGACGAGGAGAGGCUGGGGAGUGAAAUGCAUGUGGUGGCAUUACACAGUAACAAUAAAUGCAGUCAUCAGUGUCUUGAUUAAGGAGCCCAGGCCUGUGGACACGCUGAUAACAGCAAAGCUUCCUGAGGUCAAUGAAAUUCACUUUAUAAAUGGAAUAAAAUCUGCCCAUUCCAUUCUCUGAAAGGGGAUUUCAGCCCAGAAAAACUAAAAUCAAAAUUAUGACUGGAGGUACUUAUUGGGGUUUAUGGGGGGGUUCAUUAUGGGGUUUGAAAUAUUCCACAUUCCCCAGUGUGGUGCAGUUGUAUGGAGAGCAAGGAUGGCACAGCAGCAGGGAAAAUCAGGGGGAAAAAAGCAGAGAAAGGAUGGCACAGGUGGCAAAGCAGGAAAUCCAGGGCAGGGAUGGCACAGCAGCAGGGAAAUCAGGGAAAACACAGACAGCAUCCCAGGGCAGGAGGUUGCUGCACCUCCCCUGCCCAGACCCUGCUGAUGAUUUAAUGUGCCCCAGGUGCUGAAAGAGAUAGACAGAAGGAAUAUGCCUCGGAAGCAAAGCCUGGCUGGCUGGUCAGGAACAGCUGGUGGGUUUGGAAUUGGACUUUCUGUCCAUAAAGGAGCUGAUUGCAGGCCGGUGUUUGCUACUGGCUGGGGCUGGAAGGGAAGCAGGGAUUGCUUUGUGCCUCGUUGCUGCAGAGGAUCCACAUGGAGCAGCAUCCAGAUCCAAACUCACAGAGAUUCAGGCCUUGGGACAGAGGAAACGCUGAACCAAGCAUCCCUCAGCUGUUCCUGCAUGGAGAGUGAGGCAAGCACUGCAUUCAGGAGGGGAGGAAAGCUGCACAGAGACCCCUCUUGGUCUUUGGUACUUCAGUGUGAGGGCCCUGCCUUGCUGCCUGUCACUUGGGAGGACGUGUCACUUGGGAGGAUGCCACCCCUCUGCUCAGGUGUCCUUCUGCGGGAGCACUCAGCAAACUCUCCCCAUGUCACAUUUUGCACUCAGUGCUGCACUGCCCAGCAGAAACAAUGGAACAAAUCAAGUGGAGAGGCUUUCGGGAGAGAAAAAUGCAUUAAUUUUUGUUGUGAAAUCCCAUGUAAAUUUCCUUAACCGCGCACAGCAAGGGAGGGCAAAGACCUUUGCUUCUGACAGCUCUCAGUGUUCCUUACUUUCAGCACAGCAUUUUAUUUCUGCAGCCAGCAAGAGGCUCAGAGUUCAUAAAAUGCCUGAAUCUGGGUCAGGAAAUAUUUCUGUGUGUUGCAGGCUGAUUUCCCUGUCUGAUGCAUGCUGGAGGUGUUGAGAACAAGGCAUCACUGCUGUGCCACUGCUCUCCCUUCUGAAAAUGAGCUGUUAGGAGUCCAAAAAGAAAAUUAUGGGAUAAAAUUUCCCCUUCUAUUAACUGAUACCAUCCUGAUGUCUUUUGAGUGUUUACCCUGAAGGAAAAGAACAAGCAUCACAAGCUCAGCAAUAGCAAUUCUGAAAGAGACGGAUUUGAGCUGACCCCUCCAAAUCCUGAGAUUGCUAACCAGCCCCAGCUGGGGAUGGGGAUGGUGGGAAGGGCUCACGCAGCUCCUGUGGGUCUGAGGAACAUCUGCCAGGCCCUGAGCCCUGCCUUGCACUUUGUCCUGCUGUUUUCCCAGGAAAAAUCUGUGUUCCUGAGCGUUUAACCCUUCUAAACCUCAUCAGUUAUCAACUCAAGAAGAGUUAGCAGCUCAGGAAUUCAUUUUGUUCAGCAUUCAUCUCCUGAGGGUCAAAACGCACCAGAAACCAAGAUUCACAGUGCUGUUGGUAGAAUUGAUUCCCUUUUUAUAAAUUGCAAACAGUAAAUCAGUCUGAUUUAACAUAUUAUUAAGUCUUAAGUAAUAUGUUAUUUUAUUAGGUAUAG
Zonotrichia albicollis (white-throated sparrow) is the source of this 2009-nucleotide long non-coding RNA. The record is from Ensembl. NCBI's taxonomy places the organism in Eukaryota, Metazoa, Chordata, Aves, Passeriformes, Passerellidae.